RNAcentral lists this ribosomal RNA (467 nucleotides) under uncultured bacterium. RNAcentral's name for it is "bacterial SSU rRNA". It matches the Rfam family "Bacterial small subunit ribosomal RNA", at positions 329 to 794 of the family's 1533-position model. The record is from RNAcentral.
UUCCAGACUCCUACGGGAGGCAGCAGUGAGGAAUAUUGGUCAAUGGACGAGAGUCUGAACCAGCCAAGUAGCGUGAAGGAUGACUGCCCUAUGGGUUGUAAACUUCUUUUAUAUGGGAAUAAAAUGUUCCACGUGUGGGAUUUUGUAUGUACCAUAUGAAUAAGGAUCGGCUAACUCCGUGCCAGCAGCCGCGGUAAUACGGAGGAUCCGAGCGUUAUCCGGAUUUAUUGGGUUUAAAGGGUGCGCAGGCGGAGGUGCAAGUCAGCGGUCAAAUUGCGGGGCUCAACCCCGUACUGCCGUUGAAACUGCAUCCCUUGAGUGCGCGAGAAGUAUGCGGAAUGCGUGGUGUAGCGGUGAAAUGCAUAGAUAUCACGCAGAACUCCGAUUGCGAAGGCAGCAUGCCGGCUCCACACUGACGCUGAGGCACGAAAGCGUGGGUAUCGAACAGGAUUAGAUACCCCAGUAAA